RNAcentral lists this ribosomal RNA (497 nucleotides) under uncultured bacterium. RNAcentral describes it as "partial 16S ribosomal RNA". It matches the Rfam family "Bacterial small subunit ribosomal RNA", at positions 28 to 507 of the family's 1533-position model. The record is from RNAcentral.
GAUGAACGCUGGCGGCGUGCCUAAUACAUGCAAGUCGAGCGAACAGACGAGGAACUUGCUCCUCUGACAUUAGCGGCGAACGGGUGAGUAACACGUGGGUAACCUACCUAUAAGACUGGGAUAACUUCGGGAAACCGGAGCUAAUGCCGGAUAAUAUAUUUAACCGCAUGGUUCAAUAUUGAAAGACGGUUUUGCUGUCACUUAUAGAUGUAUCCGCGCCGCAUUAGCUAGUUGGUAAGGUAACGGCUUACCAAGGCAACGAUGCGUAGCCGACCUGAGAGGGUGACCGGCCACACUGGAACUGAGAAACGGUCCAGACUCCUACGGGAGGCAGCAGUAGGGAAUCUUCCGCAAUGGGCGAAAGCCUGACGGAGCAACGCCGCGUGAGUGAUGAAGGUCUUCGGAUCGUAAAACUCUGUUAUUAGGGAAGAACAAAUGUGUAAGUAACUAUGCACGUCUUGACGGUACCUAAUCAGAAAGCCACGGCUAACUACGUG